This 1047-nucleotide long non-coding RNA is filed under the name Olea europaea subsp. europaea. The record is from RNAcentral. Lineage: Eukaryota; Viridiplantae; Streptophyta; Magnoliopsida; Lamiales; Oleaceae.
CCAAAGUAAAGGAGGAGUUCUUGGUUGGAUCAAUUGGUGAAAAAGCAAUAAGAGAUAAUUUGAACUUUGCUAUCACUACUAUUUAUGUACAUUCAAAUAUACAAUAAUAAAAAUGCAAUAUUUUGUUUAGUCUUCAACCUAUGAACUCCCUACUGCCAAGAAAAUUCCAUUUUGCUUGUAAUAGCCUUCAUUUCUUCUUCGAAUGCUUAUUUCUUGAGACGUGCAAAAUAUUUGCUCCGGGAGUGCCUUUGGGUUAGUGUUCUAGAGAGUUUCAGAUUUCAAAUCAUUUUUCCUUUUGACACACGAUGGGUAGAAGUGUUGUAGGUGCUGCAUUGUUAGUGAGUUUUCUCUGUUUUUUGUUUACUGGGAUUUUGGCGCACCACAAAAAUAGGAAGACUCUUAUCACAGCUUCAUCGUCCCGAAGUUUUAAAAGUUUGAAGUCCAUGGAAAGCAGAAGGCGCGCUUAUCACCACAAUUUCGACCUCAGUUGUGUGAGCAAGAGAAGAGUACCUAAUGGACCUGAUCCAAUUCACAACAGGUACUUAAUCAUGAAGAUUUGAUACAAGAUUUUACAUUAGUUCGAUCUUGUUGGCAAAGUUGGAAAAAUGGGAAUUCUCUAAUCAUGCUUGUUUAGCGGUAUACACAUCACAUUCUUUCCAUCUUUAACAAAAGCUGAGAAUAUUAGAUGAUUUACUCAUAUGUCUAGCUACUUAACUGAAGACACUUUCCUUGAACUUUGAUUUUCCAGGGUAGCAGGAAAUUCUUGAUUACCUACUCGAGUUUAAGCAUGACUGGAUUAAGACGUUGCUGGGGACGUGUAGCAGGAAACUCUUUGAUUCACUCUCUUAUUGAUUGAGAACAGCUUUUACAUUAUGUUUAUAGACUAAUUACUAAAUUCAGGUCUUUUAUGGCACUUUAAAACGGUUAAAGAAAAUAGUGAAUAUUUGGUUUGGUGAAAUUUGAUGAUGAAAUUCUUAUAGUCCUCAUUUAGCAGAAAUCUAUGUAUUCUUCUGGUCAUGUUUAUCUGUAAUUUGCAUGGAAUUUUCG